RNAcentral lists this ribosomal RNA (119 nucleotides) under Pteropus alecto (black flying fox). The record is from RNAcentral. Lineage: Eukaryota; Metazoa; Chordata; Mammalia; Chiroptera; Pteropodidae.
AUCUACGGCCAUGCCACCCUGAACAGACCCGAUCUUAUCUGAUCUAGAAAGCUAAGCAGGGUUGGGCCUGGUUAGUACUUGGAUAGGAGACCACCAAGGAAGACUGGGUGCUGUAGGUG